AACCAUAGAAACCUGCGGAGUACCUGCGGAGGGAUCAUUACAGAGUUGCAAAACUCCCACAAACCAUCGCGAAUCUUACCCGUACGGUUGCCUCGGCGCUGGCGGUCCGGAAGGCCCUCGGGCCCCCGGACCCUCGGGUCCCCCGCUCGCGGGGGCUGCCCGCCGGAGUGCCGAAACCAAACUCUUGAUAUUUUAUGUCUCUCUGAGUAAACUUUUAAAUAAGUCAAAACUUUUAACAAC
Molecule: unclassified non-coding RNA, 240 nt
Filed under: soil metagenome
Description: partial contains 5.8S ribosomal RNA, internal transcribed spacer 2, and large subunit ribosomal RNA
Source: RNAcentral